Molecule: ribosomal RNA, 492 nt
Filed under: uncultured bacterium
Lineage: Bacteria
Description: partial 16S ribosomal RNA
Rfam family: Bacterial small subunit ribosomal RNA
Source: RNAcentral
AGUGAACGCUGGCGGUAGGCCUAACACAUGCAAGUCGAACGGCAGCACAGUAAGAGCUUGCUCUUACGGGUGGCGAGUGGCGGACGGGUGAGGAAUACAUCGGAAUCUACUUUUUCGUGGGGGAUAACGUAGGGAAACUUACGCUAAUACCGCAUACGACCUACGGGUGAAAGCAGGGGAUCUUCGGACCUUGCGCGAUUGAAUGAGCCGAUGUCGGAUUAGCUAGUUGGCGGGGUAAAGGCCCACCAAGGCGACGAUCCGUAGCUGGUCUGAGAGGAUGAUCAGCCACACUGGAACUGAGACACGGUCCAGACCCCUACGGGAGGCAGCAGUGUGGAAUAUUGGACAAUGGGCGCAAGCCUGAUCCAGCCAUACCGCGUGGGUGAAGAAGGCCUUCGGGUUGUAAAGCCCUUUUGUUGGGAAAGAAAAGCAGCAGGUUAAUACCCCGCUGUUCUGACGGUACCCAAAGAAUAAGCACCGGCUAACUUCGUG